UACGUAGGGGGCGAGCGUUGUCCGGAAUCAUUGGGCGUAAAGCGCGUGUAGGCGGCCCGAUAAGUCCGCUGUGAAAGUCCAGGGCUCAACCCUGGGAUGCCGGUGGAUACUGUCGGGCUCGAGUCCGGAAGAGGCGAGUGGAAUUCCUGGUGUAGCGGUGAAAUGCGCAGAUAUCAGGAGGAACACCGAUGGCGAAGGCAGAUCUCUGGGCCGUAACUGACGCUGAGGAGCGAAAGCGUGGGGAGCGAACAGG
This 253-nucleotide ribosomal RNA is filed under the name uncultured bacterium. RNAcentral's name for it is "partial 16S ribosomal RNA". It matches the Rfam family "Bacterial small subunit ribosomal RNA", at positions 524 to 776 of the family's 1533-position model. The record is from RNAcentral.